This 804-nucleotide long non-coding RNA is filed under the name Homo sapiens (human). Its description in RNAcentral is "HSALNT0390056". The record is from RNAcentral. Lineage: Eukaryota; Metazoa; Chordata; Mammalia; Primates; Hominidae.
CCCCGCCGUCUCCGCAGCCGCCUCCGCCGCCCGGGCGCUGCCUGGAGCCAGUGUGCGGAUGGAGUCUCUCUCUGUCACCCAGGCUGGAGUGCAGUGGCGCAAUCUUAGCCCACCGCAACCUCUGCCUCCCGGGUUCAAGCAAUUCUCCUGCCUCAGCCUUCCGAGUAGCUGGGAUUACAGGGUCUUGCUCUGUCACCUAGGCUGGAGUGCAGUGGUGUGAUCACAGCUCACUGGAGCCUCGACCUCCUGGGAUCAAGCGAUUCUCUCACCUCAACCUUUGAACUUCUAGAUAAGUGGUUCUCAAAGUGUGGUCCUUCAACCAACAGCAUCAUCACCACCCAGGAACUUAUUAGAAAUGGAAGUUCUUGCACCCUGCCAAAACCAGAAACUGCGGAUGGGUCCCAGCAAUCUUUAUUUUAACGACUGUUAAAAUCAGAAUCAAGUGAUUCUGAUGCAAACUUAAGUUUGAAAACAUUGUUCUAUUAAAAGUAAUGGCAAAAACCGCAAUUACUUUUGCACCAACCUAAGAGCUCUGCACUGUUCAAUAUGGUAGCUUCUAACUAUUGAAUUUUUUAAUGCUAUUAUCUCCUUUAUUCAAAAAUAAAUAUUUCACUUUGAUUCAACAUAUUUCAAAUUACAUUAAGCACAGAGAGGAAAUACAUUCCCUUUGGAGAUUGUGAACACGUGUUGGAAAGAGGCAUGAUCCAAAUAAUGGGGAUGAGGUGAGUGUGGAUUCCAGCUGCUUCCUGACCCAGAAGUUCUGCCCCUCUUCAGGUGGAGCUACUUAUCGAUUUUUAGGCGAGA